RNAcentral lists this ribosomal RNA (498 nucleotides) under uncultured bacterium. Its description in RNAcentral is "partial 16S ribosomal RNA". It matches the Rfam family "Bacterial small subunit ribosomal RNA", at positions 30 to 523 of the family's 1533-position model. The record is from RNAcentral.
AUUGAACGCUGGCGGCAUGCUUUACACAUGCAAGUCGAACGGCAGCGCGGGGCAACCUGGCGGCGAGUGGCGAACGGGUGAGUAAUACAUCGGAACGUACCCAGAAGUGGGGGAUAACGUAGCGAAAGUUACGCUAAUACCGCAUACGUUCUACGGAAGAAAGUGGGGGAUCGCAAGACCUCAUGCUUUUGGAGCGGCCGAUGUCUGAUUAGCUAGUUGGUAGGGUAAAGGCCUACCAAGGCGACGAUCAGUAGCUGGUCUGAGAGGACGACCAGCCACACUGGGACUGAGACACGGCCCAGACUCCUACGGGAGGCAGCAGUGGGGAAUUUUGGACAAUGGGCGCAAGCCUGAUCCAGCAAUGCCGCGUGAGUGAAGAAGGCCUUCGGGUUGUAAGGCUCUUUUGUCAGGGAAGAAACGGCUGAGGAUAAUACCUUUGGCUAAUGACGGUACCUGAAGAAUAAGCACCGGCUAACUACGUGCCAGCAGCCGCCGUAA